AUUUAAUUAAAGAAAAGGUGAAAAGUCGAAAAUUGUCAAAACAAAAAUACAAAAAUAAAAGGAAAAGCCCCAGUUAACGUCUACAAUUUAGAAGACAACCACCUGUCGCCGCUCCUUACCCACGCCGUCGCCGGUCAUUUCCCACGCCGUCGCUGCCACUUUCUCAUCCUGGCGCCUCCACUUUCACCAACCUGACGACGCCGCCUCCCUUCUACCAUAACCCACUACAUCUCCACCUAAAUCUCCCUCUCUCUAUCACGGCGAUGUUGCCGGCUACCUUCCGGACGAGCUGGGCCUGCUGAUCUAUCUGGCGCUCUGCCACAUUAACUCCAACAGAUUCUACGGCCUCGUUCCGGAAUACCUUCUACAUUCCAGUUCCAGAUAUUAUUUUGGGGCGUUUCAGAUUUCUCACUUCUCUUAAGGGGUUUGACUAAAAAAGAGAGGAGAAAUUCCUGACAAAUUUCAACUUCUGCUAGCUGAAAUUCUGCCAUGGAAAGACGAGCAGAACGUCUAUUUUCGAAGCUAUAGAAGAAGUAUCAGACUACAAGUUGCCAUCUCAGAGCAGGAUGAAGGGCAGCGCUGAUGGAAAAACUGUAGGCCCAUCAGGCUGUAUGGAAAUCGUUCACACUACAAAUUUCUUGAUUUUGGUUGAUGUUAUGCUCUAAAACCUUGAAAAGGAUACUGAUGUUGUGGAUGCCAAAAUUGGCGAUGAUGGCGGUUGCUUGUUAGGAAUUGUUAUGACAAAGUGAUUCCAGAGAGGUUGCAUCUGCUGCUUCGUACCUCAAAGCUACCUUAGAUAAGGAGGGAAUUUAAGAAUUUAUUGGCAAAUUGUCCAAAGAUAGAGCGUAUCACUGAUGAAUUUCGGAAAGAGUGAGCCAAGUUUGUUGGUAAGAGUGAUGAUGAAGAUGGAAGCUUGUUGGAUGGUCGAAUUUGUUGGAUGAAUGGUGGUGAAUGUUGAAGGUUGGAGAUUGUAUUAGAGGUUUUUUAGUAGAUAAAUGAAGGCGUAGUUAGAGAUGAUACAAUUAUGAAUGUAAUGUCUUUUGAUGAAAUACCAAACAAGAUGUUUGACUUUUAUGAUAUUAAUCGAGUUUUAUUAAUUAUUUUUUA
Molecule: long non-coding RNA, 1107 nt
Organism: Salvia miltiorrhiza (redroot sage)
Lineage: Eukaryota; Viridiplantae; Streptophyta; Magnoliopsida; Lamiales; Lamiaceae
Exons: 6
Source: RefSeq, a predicted model, not a curated record